UAGGGAAUCUUCGGCAAUGGGGGGAACCCUGACCGAGCAACGCCGCGUGAGUGAAGAAGGUUUUCGGAUCGUAAAGCUCUGUUGUUAAGGAAGAACGAGUGUGAGAAUGGAAAGUUCAUACUGUGACGGUACUUAACCAGAAAGGGACGGCUAACUACGUGCCAGCAGCCGCGGUAAUACGUAGGUCCCGAGCGUUGUCCGGAUUUAUUGGGCGUAAAGCGAGCGCAGGCGGUUAGAUAAGUCUGAAGUUAAAGGCAGUGGCUCAACCAUUGUAGGCUUUGGAAACUGUUUAACUUGUGGGUAGAAGGGGAGAGUGGAAUUCCAGGUGUGGCGGUGAAAUGCGUAGAAAUAUGGAGGAACACCGGUGGCGAAAGCGACUCUCUGGUCUGUAACUGACGCUGAGGCUCGAAAGCGGGGGGAGCGAACAGG
Molecule: ribosomal RNA, 429 nt
Filed under: Bacteroidota bacterium
Lineage: Bacteria; Pseudomonadati; Bacteroidota
Description: Bacteroidetes bacterium partial 16S ribosomal RNA
Rfam family: Bacterial small subunit ribosomal RNA
Source: RNAcentral